CCUGGGCCAUCUGUCUGCAGUUUCUUCUGCUAGUCUCAUUUGGAGAUUUCAAGAUGGUGUAUAUCUCCUUAAUUGUUUCUUGACAGACAAGUUAAGAAUACCACAGCAGGCUCUGGUCUCCCAGAACAGGCAAAAAUGGUCCUAUAGGCAUUCGUAAUUUAUAGCAUCCUGCACCUCUGAAGAUCUUCAAUACCAACAUCUGUAGGAGCAUAAACAGAAUGAAUCAGUGAAGGUUGGUUAUGUACUGACAUCACCUCCACGGACGGGUCCAGCCAAAGACUUCUGCUUGAGAUGCAUUCCAAGGUUGCAACAAAACCAUUAUCAACAUGUAAAACAGAGAAGAUGUGGCCUUCCUUCUUCUGGGGCUUGCAAAGCUCCCUGGAGGCUCUUCGUGUGGCUUAUAAAAGAAUUCUUCCAAUGGUAUAAGAUUCAAGCAAAAAUGUGAUAUGAGAUUUGCCUCCCUAACCUGACCCUGGAAUGUAGACCCUACAUCACUGGUGACGGUUCAGCGCUGGAAGGAGAUCUGUGUCGCCCCAUCUUUUGCACCACUUGGCAUCCUUUGACCUCCUGUUUCCAGAUCCUUCGGCUGCCGAAGGUCGUUUUGGCUUAUGAAAGCUUUCACAGAAUGCUCUACUUUUGGAGACUGGGGGAAGCUGCAGUUAGAAUAAUGCCAGGUAUUUCCUGAAGCACAUUCUCCUCAGAAACCUUAUAGCAAGGAAGGUACUGCCAGAGAAGAGGAUGUGGGCAUUUCUCGAUGCUGCCUGAGAUACCAUCUUGGUCGUGAAAGCCUCCAACCUGCAACCCCCACAACAGCAGAUGUGUCCUCUCAAGCCUAUCUGUAACUCCUUGGCUGAUCUCACUACACAAAAAGACAAAUCUCCUUUGACAGAGAAGCUGUAUCUUCCUUCUCACCUCUUGAAAGUUGAAGGGAUAAUGAAUGUCGCAUUUCAUCCUAAUUCAUCCUGACAGUCUUACUCAAAUCUUGGAGAUGAAAAUUUCCCAGGCAGCAGGGCUCUGUGCCCCAUGAAAUAUGCUGGGACUUCUGCAAGUUCACAUGAUGUAUCAAAGUGACUCAGCUAAGUGGUUUCCAGGAUCAUUUGCCAUCUUCUGGAUGAAAAUCACAAAUCCCACAUUUAAAAUUGGAGACAUUUUGUGUAAGGCCCAUAAGCAACUCAUAGUGAAUCACUAACUGAUUUUACAUGGGAAAAAGAAAAAAAAAGAGUGAAGAAACUCAAGGUCACUUAGAAAAUAUUCCCGUGCCAACACAGAGAGUAUCACAAAAGGUUUCUCCUAAGGGAGUGCCUUCCUCCAGAGGCGUUUUUUCCCCUGGGCUAUGUAUCUCAUAUGAAAAUGUUCCAGCUGAAUAAGAAGAUGCCAGUUUUAGUAACUAACUAGUUAGUGAGGUCAUUAAAGAUCAAUGAUGUGGUUUGUCUAAGACAAAAUGAAAAAAAUAUUAAUGAACAUAUUAAUAAAG
This is a long non-coding RNA of Mustela erminea (ermine), 1474 nucleotides long. RefSeq lists it as uncharacterized. Lineage: Eukaryota; Metazoa; Chordata; Mammalia; Carnivora; Mustelidae. The record is from RefSeq and is a predicted model, not a curated record. The transcript has 7 exons.